RNAcentral lists this ribosomal RNA (439 nucleotides) under uncultured bacterium. RNAcentral describes it as "partial 16S ribosomal RNA". It matches the Rfam family "Bacterial small subunit ribosomal RNA", at positions 339 to 795 of the family's 1533-position model. The record is from RNAcentral.
CUACGGGGCGCAGCAGUGAGGAAUAUUGCACAAUGGGGGGAACCCUGAUGCAGCAACGCCGCGUGGAGGAUGACGCAUUUCGGUGUGUAAACUCCUUUUAUAUGUCAAGAAAAUGACGGUAGCAUAUGAAUAAGCACCGGCUAACUCCGUGCCAGCAGCCGCGAUAAUACGGAGGGUGCAAGCGUUACUCGGAAUCACUGGGCGUAAAGGACGCGUAGGCGGGUUGGAAAGUCAGGUGUGAAAUCCUACAGCUUAACUGUAGAACUGCACUUGAAACUUCCAAUCUAGAGUAUGGGAGGGGGAGAUGGAAUUAGUGGUGUAGGGGUAAGAUCCGUAGAUAUCACUAGGAAUACCUAAAGCGAAGGCGAUCUUCUGGAACAUUACCGACGCUAAGGCGUGAAAGCGUGGGGAGCAAACAGGAUUAGAUACCCCAGUAGUC